RNAcentral lists this ribosomal RNA (455 nucleotides) under uncultured bacterium. Its description in RNAcentral is "bacterial SSU rRNA". It matches the Rfam family "Bacterial small subunit ribosomal RNA", at positions 340 to 784 of the family's 1533-position model. The record is from RNAcentral.
UACGGAAGGCAGCAGUGGGGAAUAUUGCACAAUGGGCGAAAGCCUGAUGCAGCUAUGCCGCGUGUAUGAAGAAGGCCUUAGGGUUGUAAAGUACUUUCAUCGGGGAGGAAAAAACAAAACUAAUAAUUUUAUUUCUUGACGUUACCCGAAAAAGAAGCACCGGCUAACUCCGUGCCAGCAGCCGCGGUAAUACGGAGGGUGCUAGCGUUAAUCAGAAUUACUGGGCGUAAAGAGCACGUAGGUGGUUUUUUUAAAGUCAGAUGUGAAAUCCCUGGGCUUAACCUGGAACUGCAUUUUGAAACUGAAAUACUAGAGUAUCGUAGAGGGAGGUAGAAUUCUAGGUGUAGCGGUGAAAUGCGUAGAUAUCUGGAGGAAUACCUGUGGCGAAAGCGGCCUCCUAAACGAAUACUGACACUGAGGGUGCGAAAGCGUGGGGAGCAAACAGGGAUUAGAUA